Dipodomys ordii (Ord's kangaroo rat) is the source of this 129-nucleotide long non-coding RNA. RefSeq lists it as uncharacterized. The transcript is spliced from 3 exons. NCBI's taxonomy places the organism in Eukaryota, Metazoa, Chordata, Mammalia, Rodentia, Heteromyidae. The record is from RefSeq and is a predicted model, not a curated record.
GACACCCCUCCUAGCUCUGGGGCUCUGAGAGCCAGAGGCAACCAGGGCAGAAGAUGGUCUGAGUCCAGGAGGCAGGGAGCUUGAACACCACUGCCACCAUGUCUGACGAGGAAGUUGAACAGGGUGAAG